RNAcentral lists this transfer RNA (77 nucleotides) under Spirobacillus cienkowskii. RNAcentral's name for it is "tRNA-Met". It matches the Rfam family "tRNA". Rfam says of the family: Transfer RNA (tRNA) molecules are approximately 80 nucleotides in length. The record is from RNAcentral. Lineage: Bacteria; Pseudomonadati; Bdellovibrionota; Oligoflexia; Silvanigrellales. RNAcentral also lists the same sequence under 3 other names.
GGGCCGGUAGCUAAAUGGUUACGGCAGCUCGCUCAUAACGAGACGAUCUGGGGGUUCGAGUCCCUCCCGGCCCACCA